Molecule: ribosomal RNA, 620 nt
Filed under: Lactobacillus gasseri
Lineage: Bacteria; Bacillati; Bacillota; Bacilli; Lactobacillales; Lactobacillaceae
Description: bacterial SSU rRNA
Rfam family: Bacterial small subunit ribosomal RNA
Source: RNAcentral
AUGGACGCAGUCUGAUGGAGCAACGCCGCGUGAGUGAAGAAGGGUUUCGGCUCGUAAAGCUCUGUUGGUAGUGAAGAAAGAUAGAGGCAGUAACUGGCCUUUAUUUGACGGUAAUUACUUAGAAAGUCACGGCUAACUACGUGCCAGCAGCCGCGGUAAUACGUAGGUGGCAAGCGUUGUCCGGAUUUAUUGGGCGUAAAGCGAGUGCAGGCGGCUCAAUAAGUCUGAUGUGAAAGCCUUCGGCUCAACCGGAGAAUUGCAUCAGAAACUGUUGAACUUGAGUGCAGAAGAGGAGAGUGGAACUCCAUGUGUAGCGGUGGAAUGCGUAGAUAUAUGGAAGAACACCAGUGGCGAAGGCGGCUCUCUGGUCUGCAACUGACGCUGAGGCUCGAAAGCAUGGGUAGCGAACAGGAUUAGAUACCCUGGUAGUCCAUGCCGUAAACGAUGAGUGCUAAGUGUUGGGAGGUUUCCGCCUCUCAGUGCUGCAGCUAACGCAUUAAGCACUCCGCCUGGGGAGUACGACCGCAAGGUUGAAACUCAAAGGAAUUGACGGGGGCCCGCACAAGCGGUGGAGCAUGUGGUUUAAUUCGAAGCAACGCGAAGAACCUUACCAGGUCUUG